Xenia sp. Carnegie-2017 is the source of this 1056-nucleotide long non-coding RNA. RefSeq lists it as uncharacterized. NCBI's taxonomy places the organism in Eukaryota, Metazoa, Cnidaria, Anthozoa, Malacalcyonacea, Xeniidae. The record is from RefSeq and is a predicted model, not a curated record. The transcript is spliced from 2 exons.
AUUCUCGUAUUUGUUCCUAUGGUUUAUAAUAAUGAUUCAUCGAUCAGCAACGAUGGGCGCAUUGUAAACCAGCAAAAGGGCAAGCUGAGAACUGACGGCGACAAAAGUAUCAGAGUACGGGGUGGCAGAUCUGCCAAAAUGUCAAACUGGUAUACAAUCUUACAAUUGCUAGUUAUAAGUCAACGUGGAUUAUGGAUUUUCAAUUUCCUCUGCACGUCAAAGACUGGAAACAAUUGGCAAUAAAUGACUCAUGACGUUCAUCAUGUUUUGCUGCCAAAUGAUAUUCAGUAUUCACAGCUGCAAAUUUUAUUAGAGAAAAUUCAAGACAAGUGUAAUGUGUGUUUAAGAAUCAUAGGGUGAUCUCCUUAGUAAGAAAUAUUUUCUGUCUGCUGUCAGUAAACGCCAAACGCAUGCACCGCAUGAAUACACAUGGCUGUGCUAGUAUGUCAUUUUUUAUAAUUGACAUAAACAAUUGUAUAAUAAAAAGUUUUGCACUGCUCUUACACAUAUGGUUGAUUUGGAAUAUUCUUUGUCAAUCGGGAAUUAAAACGCCUAGAGAAGUCUCACAUUAAAAGGGGCCAAUACAACACGCUUAUUUACAUCUUAAGAUUGACUUCGUAAGUUAUAUAAAAAGAAAAUUUCCCUUUACAUCGAAAGUGAAUAUGACGAAAAAAAUAAUAGUGAUAAGAAAUAAUGCAAUGAUUUUUAUUAUAGAAAAGUUAUUCUUCUGCUGAUUGAAGACUUUACAUUCCAGCGAGAUAUAAUAUACAAGCAUACGCUACUGUAACAGCUUUAAUUCAAACGUAGCUAUAUUAAUACAGUGGUCAAUAAUUCAUUAAACUAUGCAGUGAAAAACUGCUGGUGGAACUCGAAAGAUUUAGAAAGAUAACAUAAAUUUAAGCGAAAAAGUUUCUUUCAUACCUUCAUAUGGCCGUAAAGUUAUGAAAACUUCUUGGUUAAUAAACUUCCUGGGGCUCUAGCAUGAUUAGCAAGACUUUUGAAACUACACUUGUCGACUGAAGCGAAACAGACACGAAUAAAAUCAUUUGCAUACCA